UGCACACAGAACACUUGAGCAAUAUAUAUUUUGAUCCUACGUUUCUAGUUACACUUCUCACCCAAGAAAUCUGAGCAUCAGAAGAAGACAGUGUGAUACCCAGGGAGGAAUGGAAUGGAAUUCUAUAAUGGAAUCUCCAGUGCAGUUGUGACAUUCUGCACAGCAUGGGACAAGAUGACUAUUUUGAAACAAAUGGCUCUAAACCUGAUGGCAAUACUACAAAGCUUUAUCCUGGCUCCAUUUCAAGUAUUGGCUUCUACAGAAAUAGAAUUCUAGCUAAAUAACUGUUAAAAGGACUGUAUAAAACUUUUCAU
Molecule: long non-coding RNA, 314 nt
Filed under: Salvator merianae (Argentine black and white tegu)
Lineage: Eukaryota; Metazoa; Chordata; Lepidosauria; Squamata; Teiidae
Description: lncRNA (ENSSMRG00000009099.1)
Source: RNAcentral